This 489-nucleotide ribosomal RNA is filed under the name uncultured bacterium. RNAcentral describes it as "partial 16S ribosomal RNA". It matches the Rfam family "Bacterial small subunit ribosomal RNA", at positions 30 to 507 of the family's 1533-position model. The record is from RNAcentral.
AUUGAACGCUGGCGGCAGGCCUAACACAUGCAAGUCGAACGGUAACAGAAAGCAGCUUGCUGCUUUGCUGACGAGUGGCGGACGGGUGAGUAAUGUCUGGGAAACUGCCUGAUGGAGGGGGAUAACUACUGGAAACGGUAGCUAAUACCGCAUAACGUCGCAAGACCAAAGAGGGGGACCUUCGGGCCUCUUGCCAUCGGAUGUGCCCAGAUGGGAUUAGCUAGUAGGUGGGUAACGGCUCACCUAGGCGACGAUCCCUAGCUGGUCUGAGAGGAUGACCAGCCACACUGGAACUGAGACACGGUCCAGACUCCUACGGGAGGCAGCAGUGGGGAAUAUUGCACAAAGGGCGCAAGCCUGAUGCAGCCAUGCCGCGUGUAUGAAGAAGGCCUUCGGGUUGUAAAGUACUUUCAGCGGGGAGGAAGGGAGUAAAGUUAAUACCUUUGCUCAUUGACGUUACCCGCAGAAGAAGCACCGGCUAACUCCGUG